GGAUCAUUAACGAGUUAGGGUCUCUCAGGCCCGACCUCCCAACCCUUUGUUUACUAGACCUCUGUUGCUUCGGCGGACCCGUCUCAAGCGGACCGCCGGAGGACCGCCCACCGUGGCGUGCGUCCUCUGGCCAGUGUCCGCCGAUAGCCUCUUCAAACUCUGGAACAAUCAUGAUUUUAUUGUCUAAGUGAUUUUAUUCAAUUAAAAGCAAAAACUUUCAACAACGGAUCUCUUGGUUCUGGCAUCGAUGAAGAACGCAGCGAAAUGCGAUAAGUAAUGCGAAUUGCAGAAUUCCAGUGAGUCAUCGAAUCUUUGAACGCACAUUGCGCCCUUUGGUAUUCCGAAGGGCAUGCCUGUUCGAGCGUCAUUAUCACCCCCUCAAGCCCCGUGCUUGGUGUUGGACGGUUUGGUAGGGCGCCUACCCCUCCUAAAGACAAUGACGGCGGCCUCGUGGAACCCCCGGUACACUGAGCUUCUUAACUGAGCACGUAUCGGAUCAAGGGCGCCCGGGGCACGGUCUUCUCCCCCUUCAGGGAAAUUUUCUCAAGGUUGACCUCGGAUCAGGUAGGAAUACGCGCUGAACUUAAGCAUA
RNAcentral lists this unclassified non-coding RNA (592 nucleotides) under Cladophialophora immunda. RNAcentral's name for it is "sequence contains ITS1, 5.8S rRNA gene and ITS2". The stretch from base 213 to 367 matches the Rfam family "5.8S ribosomal RNA". The record is from RNAcentral. Lineage: Eukaryota; Fungi; Ascomycota; Eurotiomycetes; Chaetothyriales; Herpotrichiellaceae.